UGACGCUAAUACCGGAUAAUAUCAUAGAGACCUUGGUUUUUAUGAUCAAAGAUGGCCUCUCCUUGGAAGCUAUUGUUUGGAGAUGAGCCCGCGUCCCAUUAGCUUGUUGGUGGGGUAAUGGCCUACCAAGGCAACGAUGGGUAGCUGGUCUGAGAGGAUGAUCAGCCACACUGGAACUGACACACGGUCCAGACUCCUACGGGAGGCAGCAGUGAGGAAUUUUGCGCAAUGGGGGAAACCCUGACGCAGUAACGCCGCGUGAGUGAUGAAGGCUUUCGGGUCGUAAGGCUCUGUCAAGUGGGAAGAACUCCCGUGAGGUUAAUACCCUCAUGGUUUGACGGUACCACUGAAGGAAGCACCGGCUAACUCCGUGCCAGCAGCCGCGGUAAUACGGGGGGUGCAAGCGUUAUUCGGAUUUACUGGGCGUAAAGCGCGCGUAGGCGGCCGUUUAAGUCAGAUGUGAAAGCCCGGGGCUCAACCCCGGAAGUGCAUUUGAUACUAUUCGGCUUGAGUAUGGGGGAGGGAAGUGGAAUUCCUGGUGUAGAGGUGAAAUUCGUAGAUAUCAGGAGGAACACCGGUGGCGAAGGCGACUUCCUGGACCAAUACUGACGCUGAGGCGCGAAGGCGUGGGUAGCAAACAGGAUUAGAUACCCUGGUAGUCCACGCAGUAAACGGUGAUCACUAGGUGUAGCGGGUAUUGACCCCUGCUGUGCCGCAGCUAACGCAUUAAGUGAUCCGCCUGGGGAGUACGGCCGCAAGGUUAAAACUCAAAGGAAUUGACGGGGGCCCGCACAAGCGGUGGAGCAUGUGGUUUAAUUCGACGCAACGCGAAGAACCUUACCUGGAUUUGACAUCUCGGGAAUUUCUAUGAAAGUAGGAAGUGCCCUUCGGGGAGCCCGAUGACAGGUGCUGCAUGGCUGUCGUCAACUCGUGUCGUGAGAUGUUGGGUUAAGUCCCGCAACGAGCGCAACCCCUAUCUUUAGUUACCAGCACUUCGGGUGGGGACUCUAAAGAUACUGCCCCGGUCAACGGGGAGGAAGGUGGGGAUGACGUCAAGUCCUCAUGGCCUUUAUGUCCAGGGCUACACACGUGCUACAAUGGGCAGUACAGAGGGUCGCGGCACUGCGAGGUGGAGCUAAUCCCUUAAAGCUGUUCCAAGUUCGGAUUGGAGUCUGCAACUCGACUCCAUGAAGCUGGAAUCGCUAGUAAUCGCGGAUCAGCAUGCCGCGGUGAAUACGUUCCCGAGCCUUGUACACACCGCCCGUCACACCAUGAGAGUUGGUUGUACCCGACGUCGCUGGGCUAACUCAUUAGAGAUGCAGGCGCCUAAGGUAUGGCUGAUGAUUGGGGUGAAGUCGUAACAAGGUA
Molecule: ribosomal RNA, 1368 nt
Filed under: metagenome
Description: bacterial SSU rRNA
Rfam family: Bacterial small subunit ribosomal RNA
Source: RNAcentral